CACACAGACACAUACACUGGUAGACGUACUGACAGACAUACUGACACAGGCACAUAUACAGACAUACUGACACACAGACACAUAUACCGACAUACUGACACACAGACACAUACACUGAUCAACAUACUGACACACAUACACUGACAGAAAUACUGACACCCAUACACUGACAGAUAUACUGACACCCACAUACACUGAGAAAUACUGACACACACACACAGGCACAUACACUGAC
Pelobates cultripes (western spadefoot toad) is the source of this 235-nucleotide non-coding RNA. Lineage: Eukaryota; Metazoa; Chordata; Amphibia; Anura; Pelobatidae. The record is from the annotation of a GenBank genome assembly.